This 277-nucleotide ribosomal RNA is filed under the name uncultured bacterium. RNAcentral's name for it is "partial 16S ribosomal RNA". It matches the Rfam family "Bacterial small subunit ribosomal RNA", at positions 28 to 320 of the family's 1533-position model. The record is from RNAcentral.
GACGAACGCUGGCGGCGUGCUUAACACAUGCAAGUCGAGCGAGACUUCGGUCUAGCGGCGAACGGGUGAGUAACACGUGGGCAACCUGCCCCGAGCUCUGGGAUAACUCCGGGAAACCGGGGCUAAUACCGGAUAUGACUCAAGAAGACAUCUUUUUGAGUGGAAAGUUUUUCGGCUCGGGAUGGGCCCGCGGCCUAUCAGCUUGUUGGUGGGGUAACGGCCUACCAAGGCGACGACGGGUAGCCGGCCUGAGAGGGCGACCGGCCACACUGGGACU